This 347-nucleotide ribosomal RNA is filed under the name Zophobas atratus (kingworm beetle). Its description in RNAcentral is "partial 12S ribosomal RNA". Lineage: Eukaryota; Metazoa; Arthropoda; Insecta; Coleoptera; Tenebrionidae. The record is from RNAcentral.
UUCAUAUGUGAAUUUUUGUUCUUUGAUUAUUAGUAGUUAUGGUCUUUAAAAUUAAAAAAUUUGGCGGUAUUUUAGUCUGUUCAGAGGAACCUGUUUUUUAAUUGAUGGUCCACGAUAAUUUUUACUUUAGUUUUUAAUUUGCAUAUCGUCGUUUAUAAAAAUUUUAAGAGAAUAACAAUUUUUAUGAUUUUUGAUUAUAAAUUAUUUCAGAUCAAGGUGUAGUUUAUAUUAAAGUUAAAAUGGGUUACAAUGAUAUAAUUUUUGGCUUUUUCAUUUAAAAUUUAAAUUAAAUUGGAUUUGAUAGUAAGUUCUUUAUUUAUGGGAAUUGAUUUAGCUCUAAAAUAUGC